UAUCUGGUUGAUUCUGCCAGUAGUCAUAUGCUUGUCUCAAAGAUUAAGCCAUGCAUGUCUAAGUAUAAGCAAUCUAUACGGUGAAACUGCGAAUGGCUCAUUAAAUCAGUUAUCGUUUAUUUGAUAGUACCUUACUACAUGGAUACCUGUGGUAAUUCUAGAGCUAAUACAUGCUAAAAACCUCG
This 185-nucleotide non-coding RNA is filed under the name Aspergillus clavatus NRRL 1. RNAcentral describes it as "Eukaryotic small subunit ribosomal RNA". It matches the Rfam family "Eukaryotic small subunit ribosomal RNA", at positions 1 to 185 of the family's 1831-position model. Lineage: Eukaryota; Fungi; Ascomycota; Eurotiomycetes; Eurotiales; Aspergillaceae. The record is from Rfam by way of RNAcentral.